This 253-nucleotide ribosomal RNA is filed under the name uncultured bacterium. Its description in RNAcentral is "partial 16S ribosomal RNA". It matches the Rfam family "Bacterial small subunit ribosomal RNA", at positions 524 to 776 of the family's 1533-position model. The record is from RNAcentral.
UACGGAAGGGGCAAGCGUUGUUCGGAAUCAUUGGGCGUAAAGGGCUCGUAGGCGGCCAACUAAGUCAGACGUGAAAUCCCUCAGCUUAACUGGGGAACUGCGUCUGAUACUGGAUGGCUUGGAUUCGGGAGAGGAAUGCGGAAUUCCAGGUGUAGCGGUGAAAUGCGUAGAUAUCUGGAGGAACACCGGUGGCGAAGGCGGCAUUCUGGACCGAUAUUGACGCUGAGGAGCGAAAGCCAGGGGAGCAAACGGG